RNAcentral lists this long non-coding RNA (310 nucleotides) under Homo sapiens (human). RNAcentral describes it as "non-protein coding lnc-FAT3-2:6". Lineage: Eukaryota; Metazoa; Chordata; Mammalia; Primates; Hominidae. The record is from RNAcentral.
AAUAUAAUUGCCGUUCUAAGAAGAAUCUGAGGCCUCUAGGAGAUCUGCCAGUAGUGGCCCCAAUGUAUAACAGCACUAGCUCAGUGAAGAGAGAGAGAAAAGAUCUGAAGAGAGUGGUUGCAGUUUGAGCUCUGUCAAUGGGACAGUCCUGGGCAGGAGACUGGGGAGAAGAGGCGGCUUGCUGGUUUUCCUGAACCACUUCCACCCUGAAAGACUCCUUGCAUACAAUCAUCAGAGAAGAACCGUGGGAACCAAGAACCAUGAGCAGGAGAACCAUGAGCACACUGUUCGCAAUGGCCAAGAUUUGGAG